GACAGAAGGGGCGCGCGUUGUGCGGAGUCACUGGGCGUAAAGCGCGCGCAGGCGGCAACCUAAGUGUCGUGUGAAAGCCCCCGGCUCAACCGGGGGAGGCCAUGGCAAACUGGGUCGCUCGAGCUGCGGAGAGGCCCCUCGAAUUGCCGGUGUAGCGGUGAAAUGCGUAGAGAUCGGCAGGAAGACCAUGUGGUAAUCCAGGGGGCUGGCCGCAGGUUGAUGAUGAGCCGCGACAGCGUGGGGAGCAAACCGG
Molecule: ribosomal RNA, 253 nt
Filed under: uncultured bacterium
Lineage: Bacteria
Description: partial 16S ribosomal RNA
Rfam family: Bacterial small subunit ribosomal RNA
Source: RNAcentral